This 433-nucleotide ribosomal RNA is filed under the name uncultured bacterium. RNAcentral's name for it is "partial 16S ribosomal RNA". It matches the Rfam family "Bacterial small subunit ribosomal RNA", at positions 29 to 507 of the family's 1533-position model. The record is from RNAcentral.
AGCGAACGCUGGCGGCAGGCCUAACACAUGCAAGUCGAACGAACUCUUCGGAGUUAGUGGCGGACGGGUGAGUAACACGUGGGAACGUGCCUUUAGGUUCGGAAUAACUCAGGGAAACUUGUGCUAAUACCGAAUGUGCCCUUCGGGGGAAAGAUUUAUCGCCUUUAGAGCGGCCCGCGUCUGAUUAGCUAGUUGGUGAGGUAAAGGCUCACCAAGGCGACGAUCAGUAGCUGGUCUGAGAGGAUGAUCAGCCACAUUGGGACUGAGACACGGGCCAAACUCCUACGGGAGGCAGCAGUGGGGAAUCUUGCGCAAUGGGCGAAAGCCUGACGCAGCCAUGCCGCGUGAAUGAUGAAGGUCUUAGGAUUGUAAAAUUCUUUCACCGGGGACGAUAAUGACGGUACCCGGAGAAGAAGCCCCGGCUAACUUCGUG